CAUCUAUCCAUAUGCCAAACUUACCUAUAAAAGAUUGGGUUAUUUCUUAAGAAACUUAAUCAACCAAAAAAAUUCCAAUUCCUUUUUCACAAUAAAGAAAACAGAAGUAUUUUGCAUUUUCUUAAUUACAUUAUUAGUGUUUAUAAAAGAUUUUCUACUUUUUGAAGCAAUUUCUGCACCUAAUCCUGUGCUUAACACGACAGGAAAAAUAAUUCGAGUAGGAUUCGACUAUAUGAUUGUGCCAGUAAGAAAAGACUUAGGAGGCGAUCUUGGGCUAGCCUUUUGUUGGAACCCAAGUUUGUCCACUUGAUGUUGGCCCACGUAAUAAUAACAAUCCAGGUCAACAUCACUCCAAUGUAUGGAGGUUGGACCACUAUAAUCCUCAAAAGGAAGAUCAUAUGAUCGCGACACCAUUAGCAAUUGGUUCAAGAUUGUGAAAUAUGGAGUUGGAUACAAGUUUGUAUUUUGUCCAAGUGUGUGCACUUAUUGUGAUGUGAUUUGUAAGAACGUUAGAUUUUUUGUACAGAAUAAUAGUCAGGCACUCUUGACAUUGAGUAACGAGCCAUUAGAAGUCGUGUUCAAGAAGGUGUGAACAAUAUGUUCCUAUCAAAUAAGAAAAAUAAAUUAUGAAUGAUCUUCAUGUAAUAUUUAUAUUCAAAUAAAAAAAUUUAU
Long non-coding RNA from Solanum lycopersicum (tomato), 672 nucleotides. RefSeq lists it as uncharacterized. The record is from RefSeq and is a predicted model, not a curated record. NCBI's taxonomy places the organism in Eukaryota, Viridiplantae, Streptophyta, Magnoliopsida, Solanales, Solanaceae.